This 547-nucleotide ribosomal RNA is filed under the name uncultured bacterium. RNAcentral's name for it is "bacterial SSU rRNA". It matches the Rfam family "Bacterial small subunit ribosomal RNA", at positions 355 to 896 of the family's 1533-position model. The record is from RNAcentral.
UGGGGAAUAUUGCGCAAUGGGGGGAACCCUGACGCAGCCAUGCCGCGUGAAUGAAGAAGGCCUUCGGGUUGUAAAGUUCUUUCGGUAUUGAGGAAGGUUGAUGUGUUAAUAGCACAUCAAAUUGACGUUAAAUACAGAAGAAGCACCGGCUAACUCCGUGCCAGCAGCCGCGGUAAUACGGAGGGUGCGAGCGUUAAUCGGAAUAACUGGGCGUAAAGGGCACGCAGGCGGUUAUUUAAGUGAGGUGUGAAAGCCCCGGGCUUAACCUGGGAAUUGCAUUUCAGACUGGGUAACUAGAGUACUUUAGGGAGGGGUAGAAUUCCACGUGUAGCGGUGAAAUGCGUAGAGAUGUGGAGGAAUACCGAAGGCGAAGGCAGCCCCUUGGGAAUGUACUGACGCUCAUGUGCGAAAGCGUGGGGAGCAAACAGGAUUAGAUACCCUGGUAGUCCACGCUGUAAACGCUGUCGAUUUGGGGGUUGGGGUUUAACUCUGGCGCCCGUAGCUAACGUGAUAAAUCGACCGCCUGGGGGGUACGGCCGCAAGGUUA